RNAcentral lists this microRNA (17 nucleotides) under Pongo pygmaeus (Bornean orangutan). RNAcentral describes it as "ppy-miR-302e". Its record names the gene ppy-miR-302e. Lineage: Eukaryota; Metazoa; Chordata; Mammalia; Primates; Hominidae. The record is from miRBase by way of RNAcentral.
UAAGUACUUCCAUGCUU